Molecule: ribosomal RNA, 553 nt
Filed under: uncultured Rhizoscyphus
Lineage: Eukaryota; Fungi; Ascomycota; Leotiomycetes; Helotiales; Helotiaceae
Description: eukaryotic LSU rRNA
Rfam family: 5.8S ribosomal RNA (bases 206-359)
Source: RNAcentral
UGCGGAGGAUCAUUAACGUAACCGGACUGGUACGUUCGCCGUAAAACGCAGCGGAUCGGAAAGGGAGAUAUCAUACACCCUAUAUUUAUUUUACCUUUGUUGCUUUGGCGGGCCGUUCUUUUAGGCGUCGGCCCCGGCUGAUCGCGCCCGCCAGAGGACCCAAACUCUUUUAUUAGUGAUGUCUGAGUACUAUAUAAAUAGUUAAAACUUUCAACAACGGAUCUCUUGGUUCUGGCAUCGAUGAAGAACGCAGCGAAAUGCGAUAAGUAAUGUGAAUUGCAGAAUUCAGUGAAUCAUCGAAUCUUUGAACGCACAUUGCGCCCGCUGGUAUUCCGGCGGGCAUGCCUGUUCGAGCGUCAUUAUGACCAAUCAAGCUCUGCUUGGCUUUGGGGCCCGCUGUACCGGCGGCCCUUAAAACUAGUGGCGGUGCCGUCUGGCUCUAAGCGUAGUAAUACUUCUCGCUAUAGUGUCUAGGCGUUCACCCGCCAGAACCUCCAACUUUCUUAGGUUGACCUCGGAUCAGGUAGGGAUACCCGCUGAACUUAAGCAUAUC